RNAcentral lists this ribosomal RNA (280 nucleotides) under uncultured cyanobacterium. Its description in RNAcentral is "partial 16S ribosomal RNA". It matches the Rfam family "Bacterial small subunit ribosomal RNA", at positions 338 to 633 of the family's 1533-position model. Lineage: Bacteria; Bacillati; Cyanobacteriota. The record is from RNAcentral.
CCUACGGGAGGCAGCAGUGGGGAAUUUUCCGCAAUGGGCGCAAGCCUGACGGAGCAAGACCGCGUGCGGGAGGACGGCCUAUUGGUUGUAAACCGCUUUUGAUAGGGAAGAAGUACUGACGGUACCUAUCGAAUCAGCAUCGGCUAACUCCGUGCCAGCAGCCGCGGUAAUACGGAGGAUGCAAGCGUUAUCCGGAAUUAUUGGGCGUAAAGCGUCCGUAGGUGGUUGUUCAAGUCUGCUGUUAAAGCGUGCGGCUUAACCGCAUACCAGCAGUGGAAAC